RNAcentral lists this ribosomal RNA (344 nucleotides) under Absidia sp. SAUFS3-5. RNAcentral describes it as "SSU rRNA". It matches the Rfam family "Eukaryotic small subunit ribosomal RNA", at positions 594 to 929 of the family's 1831-position model. Lineage: Eukaryota; Fungi; Mucoromycota; Mucoromycetes; Mucorales; Cunninghamellaceae. The record is from RNAcentral.
AAAGCGUAUAUUAAAGUUGUUGCAGUUAAAACGUCCGUAGUCGAAUUUACACCAGGUAUUGGCCCCGCCGGUUCUUCAUUGAGCUGGAUUGGUUGGUCAGUCCGGUGAUAAAGUCUGGCUGAUAGGAUGGUCGGCUUCGGUUGGCUGUCUUUCCUCGCCAGGCGUAUUACCAUGAGCAAAUCAGAAUGCUCAAAGUAGGCCUACGCGCCUGAAUGUGUUAGCAUGGAAUAAUAAAAUAGGACUCGAGUCUUGUUUUGUUGGUUUACUUGACAUUGAGAAAUGAUGAAUAGGAACGGUUGGGGGCAUUUGUAUUUGGCCGCUAGAGGUGAAAUUCUUGGAUUGGC